CUGGCGGCGCGCCUAACACAUGCAAGUCGAACGAGAGAUGAAGAGCUUGCUCUUCAAAUCGAGUGGCGAACGGGUGAGUAACGCGUGAGGAACCUGCCUCAAAGAGGGGGACAACAGUUGGAAACGACUGCUAAUACCGCAUAAGCCCACGGCUCGGCAUCGAGCAGAGGGAAAAGGAGUGAUCCGCUUUGAGAUGGCCUCGCGUCCGAUUAGCUAGUUGGUGAGGUAACGGCCCACCAAGGCGACGAUCGGUAGCCGGACUGAGAGGUUGAACGGCCACAUUGGGGCUGAGACACGGCCCAGACUCCUACGGGAGGCAGCAGUGGGGAAUAUUGCACAAUGGGGGAAACCCUGAUGCAGCGACGCCGCGUGGAGGAAGAAGGUCUUCGGAUUGUAAACUCCUGUUGUUGAGGAAGAUAAUGACGGUACUCAACAAGGAAGUGACGGCUAACUACGUG
This 458-nucleotide ribosomal RNA is filed under the name uncultured bacterium. RNAcentral describes it as "bacterial SSU rRNA". It matches the Rfam family "Bacterial small subunit ribosomal RNA", at positions 36 to 507 of the family's 1533-position model. The record is from RNAcentral.